RNAcentral lists this ribosomal RNA (444 nucleotides) under uncultured bacterium. RNAcentral describes it as "SSU rRNA". It matches the Rfam family "Bacterial small subunit ribosomal RNA", at positions 26 to 518 of the family's 1533-position model. The record is from RNAcentral.
AGAGCGAACGCUGGCGGCAGGCCUAACACAUGCAAGUCGAGCGCCGUAGCAAUACGGAGCGGCAGACGGGAGAGUAACACGUGGGAACGUACCCUUUGGUUCGGAACAACCCAGGGAAACUUGGGCUAAUACCGAAUAAGCCCUUACGGGGAAAGAUUUAUCGCCGAAGGAUCGGCCCGCGUCUGAUUAGCUAGUUGGUGGGGUAACGGCCCACCAAGGCGACGAUCAGUAGCUGGUCUGAGAGGAUGAUCAGCCUCAUUGGGACUGAGACACGGCCCAAACUCCUACGGGAGGCAGCAGUGGGGAAUAUUGGACAAUGGGCGCAAGCCUGAUCCAGCCAUGCCGCGUGGGUGAUGAAGGCCCUAGGGUUGUAAAGCCCUUUCGGCGGGGAAGAUAAUGACGGUACCCGCAGAAGAGCCCGGCUAACUUCGUGCCAGCAGCCGC